ACAACUUCCACCUGGCUUACCUUUUCAGUCUUGUGUCAUUGCUUGUAUCGCAUUGAAUGCAUGGUGGGUUUCUUGUGUUGCAUGCCUAAUUGAUGGUAUCAUUUGAAGAACUGAUGUCCCUUUUCAUCUUGUGUCGNACAUGCGAUGUGAGAUGAACCUUGAAGUAGCCUUUGUGAUCCACUCUUUCGAUGUACACGCAUUGAUUUUGUGGCCCACUGUGUGUUGCUUGGUCUCAUGGAUAUGGAACCUGGUGUGGGCAUGGGAUCUUUACUAGUUCCUUGUUUGCCCUGGUUUAGCUUUUCUAAUACACGAUUGUUUAUCACAUUUUAAUGUGGUAGGCUAUAUCGGAUAUGAAUGCUACCUGGUUGAUCCUGCC
This 376-nucleotide unclassified non-coding RNA is filed under the name Leontopodium nivale. RNAcentral's name for it is "partial contains external transcribed spacer and 18S ribosomal RNA". The record is from RNAcentral. Lineage: Eukaryota; Viridiplantae; Streptophyta; Magnoliopsida; Asterales; Asteraceae.